UUCGGUGUUCUGGAUGCUUCUGGGAAAAAUAAGAUGUUGGGUCUUCGUUUCGUCGAAUUCUGAGAAUAUUGCCCGAACAGCCUUUCUGGAACCAAAAACACCAGAAAACUGGAACUGGCACUUCGGCAUCUUGUUAAUAGGUUAGUUCCGGAAAACGCAUAAAAACAUUAUAAA
Lolium perenne is the source of this 174-nucleotide non-coding RNA. The record is from RefSeq and is a predicted model, not a curated record. NCBI's taxonomy places the organism in Eukaryota, Viridiplantae, Streptophyta, Magnoliopsida, Poales, Poaceae.